RNAcentral lists this transfer RNA (73 nucleotides) under Nannocystis exedens. RNAcentral's name for it is "tRNA-Lys". It matches the Rfam family "tRNA". Rfam says of the family: Transfer RNA (tRNA) molecules are approximately 80 nucleotides in length. Their secondary structure includes four short double-helical elements and three loops (D, anti-codon, and T loops). Lineage: Bacteria; Pseudomonadati; Myxococcota; Nannocystales; Nannocystaceae. The record is from RNAcentral.
GGGCUCGUAGCUCAGUUGGUAGAGCGACGGACUUUUAAUCCGUUGGUCGCAGGUUCAAAUCCUGCCGGGCUCA